CUUGUUCUUCAACCUCGCUUCGCCUUCACUCACUCUCUCUCCAUCGCCAUGAAAAUCUCUUGAAGAUUAUCUAUAUCGGAGGCUUGAUAAUCUUCCAUAUCUGUCUUAGAUAUCGAAUAUGGUUUCUCUGGAGGAUUCUCACUCCAAUUCCAAUCGUUUCCCUUUGACCCGAAGCUAUUACUCUACUACUACUUCCGUCAACAAUUCUUCGUCCAGAAUCCAGCGACACACUGGAAGGUCUAUGCGAACUAUACGCUCUAAUUUCUUCCAGGAUGACCAUAGCUGCUCCUUCACCACGGCCACCGAGAAAUCCACUUGCCUGUCGGAAAACAUGACCGAUUCGGUCAUAGACCUGAGGCUUGGCGAGCUUGCAUCGAAGAACAACAAAUCUGCCAAGUCUUCUGCUACGGAGGAGGAGUUGCUUGAUCUUUCUCAAGCUUUCAGUGAUUUCUCGGCUUGUAGCAGCGAUAUUUCCGGGGAGCUGCAGAGGCUGGCGAGUUUACCGUCUCCGGAAAAUGUGUUGAAGAGCGAUGCCAGUCGUGAAGCAGAGAAGGAGCCGGAGCCGGAGCCGUGCCUGGGGUUUCUGCAGAGAGAGAAUUUCUCUACCGAGAUCAUUGAGAGUAUUUCGCCGGAGGAUCUUCAGCCGACGGUGAAGAUCUGUAUCGAUGGGCUACAGUCACAGUCGGUUGCUGUGAAGCGAUCUGCUGCGGCUAAGCUCAGGCUGCUGGCGAAGAAUCGAGCGGAUAAUCGAGCUCUGAUCGGUGAGUCUGGUGCGGUUCCCACUUUGGUUCCCCUGCUUCGUUGCAGUGAUCCGUGGACGCAGGAACACGCCGUCACGGCCUUGCUGAAUCUCUCGCUGCACGAAGAUAACAAGAUUCUGAUUACCAAUGCAGGAGCUAUAAAGUCACUGAUUUAUGUGCUCAAAACCGGAACAGAGACUUCGAAGCAGAACGCGGCAUGUGCGCUUCUGAGCCUUGCGUUAGUUGAAGAAAACAAGAGCUCUAUCGGGGCUAGUGGGGCAAUACCACCGCUUGUUUCCUUGCUAUUGAGUGGUUCGAGCAGGGGAAAGAAGGACGCUCUGACGACUCUCUACAAGCUCUGCUCUAUAAGGCCAAAUAAGGAGAGGGCAGUGAGCGCCGGAGCAGUGAAGCCGCUUGUGGAGAUGGUGGCAGAGCAAGGAACGGGUAUGUCUGAGAAGGCAAUGGUGAUACUUAAUAGCUUGGCCGCGAUUCCGGAAGGGAAGGAAGCAAUUGUUGAUGAAGGCGGAAUAGCUGCUCUUGUUGAGGCGAUUGAAGAUGGCUCUGUGAAGGGGAAGGAAUUUGCUGUUUUGACACUUUUACAGCUAUGUGCUGACAGUGUGAGGAAUAGAGGAUUGCUUGUGAGGGAGGGUGGAAUACCCCCUCUGGUUGCUCUUUCUCAGACCGGAAGUGUUAAAGCUAAGCACAAGGCAGAAACGCUCCUUGCAUAUUUGAGAGAAUCAAGACAAGAAGCAUCCACUUCAAGUCCUUAGAGAAUUAGUUGCUGCCUAGGAAGGAAAAGGUCGGGAAUGUAAAUUUGGAAUCUUUCCCUGUUGACACCGGCACGUGAUUGUUAAGAUUGAGAAAGUCUCAAGUGCACGCCUCUUGUAGUAUUAGCGAAUAAGAGUACGAUCAAAACAGCUGUAGAUUCUCACAAUCUCCUUUGAUUUUAUGAUUCAUUAUUGGGUUUUGCUACCUGAAAAUCGUGUCAUGGUUUUCAGGAAAAGUUGAAGAAAACUAAGAAUGGCAUGAUCAAAGUUGAAGAUAAGCAGCCAAGACCAAAGUCUUGAGCCACCUGAAGAAAAUGAGUUUUCUCAAAACUCUGAUUUUUCUUCUCGGCUGCCGAAUGCCUGGCUUUAGGUUUUUCCAAGUUAUAAAACAUCUUCCCAGGCCAGAAGAAAUAUUCGUUAAAUAAUAAAUGAUGAGGGUAUGGGGUCCACACAGCUGCGUUGUCAUUGUUGGGGAGGGGGGCUCACCCAAUGCAUGCUUGCAUCGGAGCAUCAAUCCAUCGACAUCCAAUUUGCAAAUGGGAUUUCUCUGCAUCCCAAGCCAAACAAAGCCCACAGCUAGCAGGUCAGGUCAGCUCAGGUGAGCCCCACCACCACAAGAUUACAUCAUCUUUGAGCAUAUUAUUUUCUCCAUUUGCCUGAUGUCAGCUCAUAUCACUAUCCUCGUUUUAAAAAUGCUGGGGGGUGUCUGUCUACUGUCUAAUGUCUACCCCCUUUCAAUUCAAAUCUUCUCUUCUUUGUCCUUCCUAAUAAUAAUAACUAAUUAGCUGGCGGAGCAGGUAGGCUUCGUCCUCCCCUUUCUUUGUUUAGGUUGUUGCACUUUCCAAACCAUCAAGUUUGAAUAAACCUGUGUCGGUGGACUUUAUCUUCAUCAUUCAUUAUCAACUUGAAAGGCUCUGUGUUUUGUACAUAUUUUGAUUGAUGCUUUGCAUCUAAAGAUCUGGCUGUUUUUGGUUAGUGGUACUGGCAGCAGUUUCCCUUCUCUUUAAAGCCAAAUAAAAUUUUACCCUGCUGGGUCAUCAUCCUUUGUACUGGAA
Prosopis cineraria is the source of this 2562-nucleotide RNA transcript. It is a transcript of the gene named U-box domain-containing protein 4, with no coding region annotated. The record is from RefSeq and is a predicted model, not a curated record. Lineage: Eukaryota; Viridiplantae; Streptophyta; Magnoliopsida; Fabales; Fabaceae. The transcript is spliced from 4 exons.